This 473-nucleotide ribosomal RNA is filed under the name uncultured soil bacterium. Its description in RNAcentral is "bacterial SSU rRNA". It matches the Rfam family "Bacterial small subunit ribosomal RNA", at positions 26 to 518 of the family's 1533-position model. The record is from RNAcentral.
AGGACGAACGCUGGCGGCGUGCUUAACACAUGCAAGUCGAGCGGUAAGGCCUUUCGGGGUACACGAGCGGCGAACGGGUGAGUAACACGUGGGUGAUCUGCCCUGCACUCUGGGAUAAGCCUGGGAAACUGGGUCUAAUACCGGAUAUGACCUGCUCUCGCAUGGGGGGUGGGUGGAAAGAUUUAUCGGUGCAGGAUGGGCCCGCGGCCUAUCAGCUUGUUGGUGGGUAAUGGCCUACCAAGGCGACGACGGGUAGCUGACCUGAGAGGGUGACCGGCCACACUGGGACUGAGACACGGCCCAGACUCCUAUGGGAGCAGCAGUGGGAAUAUGCACAAUGGGCAAGCCUGAUGCAGCGACGCCGCGUGAGGGAUGGAAGGUCCUUCGGGUUAGUAAACCUUCGUUUACAGCGAGGGACGAAGCGCAAGUGACGUCCUGCAGAAGAGCACCGCUAACUACGUGCCAGCAGCCGA